GUGGAAUUGCCUCCACAAUGAGCUCCCCAGCCUAAACGACUUGCGUCGGAUUCUAUAGUUAGGUCUGGGAAUGACGUGAAAAUGGCUUUCCCGUUCCAAAUUUGAACGUGAUCUAACCACCAGGAAAGUUCUAUUCUUGUCUCUGAAGUUAGAGAAAUCUCGUCUGAAUAAAGGAGACCAUUGUUUAGAUGUUCUCUUUUCAAUCUUUGAAGAGCCCGAUAGUGAAGGGGGGCUGGAAAGAUAGCCUGGAUCGAGGCUGAUAAAAGUCCUACAAUCCUUGCUAACGACCUGAUGGAAAUUAAUUCCUUCUUUAGAACUGACCUGAUCUCUUUUCGAAUUGUUUUCAACUUCCGUGAUGGAAGUCUGAGAGUGGCU
This is a non-coding RNA of Pelobates cultripes (western spadefoot toad), 375 nucleotides long. NCBI's taxonomy places the organism in Eukaryota, Metazoa, Chordata, Amphibia, Anura, Pelobatidae. The record is from the annotation of a GenBank genome assembly.